RNAcentral lists this ribosomal RNA (253 nucleotides) under uncultured bacterium. Its description in RNAcentral is "partial 16S ribosomal RNA". It matches the Rfam family "Bacterial small subunit ribosomal RNA", at positions 524 to 776 of the family's 1533-position model. The record is from RNAcentral.
UACGUAGGUGGCAAGCGUUGUCCGGAUUUACUGGGUGUAAAGGGCGUGUAGCCGGGGAGACAAGUCAGAUGUGAAAUCUGGAGGCUCAACCUCCAAACUGCAUUUGAAACUGUUUCUCUUGAGUAUCGGAGAGGUAGUCGGAAUUCCUAGUGUAGCGGUGAAAUGCGUAGAUAUUAGGAAGAACACCAGUGGCGAAGGCGGAUUACUGGACGACAACUGACGGUGAGGCGCGAAAGCGUGGGGAGCAAACAGG